GAGGGGAGGUUUGAAACAACAAGAACUGCUAAUUCCUGUAUCUGAGCCUAAAAUCUCAGCCCCCUUA
This 67-nucleotide transfer RNA is filed under the name Acanthiza nana (yellow thornbill). Its description in RNAcentral is "tRNA-Ser". The record is from RNAcentral. Lineage: Eukaryota; Metazoa; Chordata; Aves; Passeriformes; Acanthizidae.